CCUCCCAACUGACUGAGCCACCCAGGCCCCGGCAAAGCUCACAGAAUGUCAGCGAGGAAGCAUGUGGCUCCAGAUGCUGUUUGGCAGGCAUCCAUCCCAUGACCACAAAGGGAGCCCACUUCGGAAUGAAGCUGAUGGUCCGAGGCAAUAAAGUAGGUCUUCGAGAAUACUAAACACUGACCCUACAACCUCUCUGGAUUUUCUAAUGUGUAAACCAAUAAAGCCACUUGUUUAAACCAG
Long non-coding RNA from Suricata suricatta (meerkat), 240 nucleotides. RefSeq lists it as uncharacterized. The record is from RefSeq and is a predicted model, not a curated record. NCBI's taxonomy places the organism in Eukaryota, Metazoa, Chordata, Mammalia, Carnivora, Herpestidae. The transcript has 2 exons.